UUUAAAGUCUGAUCUGCCCAAUGAGGAGUUGAAUGGCCGCGGUAUUUUGACCGUGCAAAGGUAGCAUAAUCAUUAGUUUUUUAAUUGGAAGCUGGAAUGAAUGAUUGGACGAGAAAAUGGCUGUCUCAGUUUAAUAUAAUUAGAAUUUUAUAUUUAAGUUAAAAAGCUUAAAUAAAUUUAAAAGACGAGAAGACCCUAUAGAGUUUUAUAUUUAUAAUUAUAUUAUUAUUUGAGUUUAAUUUAUAAAUAAUAUAGAUAUAUUAAGUAUUUUAUUGGGGCGAUAGAAAAAUUAAAUUAACUUUUUAUAUUAUAGUACAUUAAUAUAUGGUUUUAUGAUCCAAAUUUAUUGAUUAAAAGAUUAAAUUACCUUAGGGAUAACAGCGUUAUUUUUUUUGAGAGUUCUUAUCGAAAAAAGAGUUUGCGACCUCGAUGUUGGAUUAAAAUUUAUUUUAGGUGUAGGAGCUUAAGAAUUAGGUCUGUUCGACCUUUAAAAUUUUACAUGAUCUGAGUUUAAACCGGUGUGAGCCAGGUUGGUUUCUAUCUUUAAAACAAUAAAAUAUUUUAGUACGAAAGGACCAAGUAUUUAUAAUAAUUAUUAUGAUUUGAAUAUUA
Molecule: ribosomal RNA, 612 nt
Filed under: Microvalgus sp. BMNH 671321
Lineage: Eukaryota; Metazoa; Arthropoda; Insecta; Coleoptera; Scarabaeidae
Description: partial 16S large subunit ribosomal RNA
Rfam family: Bacterial large subunit ribosomal RNA
Source: RNAcentral